AUUUACGAAUUAAAGAGCGUGUCGGUGCUGGCUCAUUCGGGACAGUGUACCGUGCUGAAUGGCAUGGAUCAGAUGUUGCAGUCAAGGUUUUAACAGUUCAGGAUUUCCAUGAUGAUCAGUUGAAGGAGUUUCUGAGAGAGGUAUGUAUUCAUGGGACAAAUGUAUCAUGGUG
Molecule: non-coding RNA, 172 nt
Organism: Cajanus cajan (pigeon pea)
Lineage: Eukaryota; Viridiplantae; Streptophyta; Magnoliopsida; Fabales; Fabaceae
Source: RefSeq, a predicted model, not a curated record